RNAcentral lists this transfer RNA (66 nucleotides) under Platencyrtus parkeri. RNAcentral describes it as "tRNA-Gly". The record is from RNAcentral. Lineage: Eukaryota; Metazoa; Arthropoda; Insecta; Hymenoptera; Encyrtidae.
AUUUAUAUAGUAUAUAAAUCAGUACAAAUAAUUUCCAAUUAUUAAGAUUAAAUUUUAAUAUAAAUA